CGCAAUGGGCGAAAGCCUGACGCAGCGACGCCGCGUGAGGGAUGACGGCCUUCGGGUUGUAAACCUCUUUCAGUAGGGACGAAGCGCAAGUGACGGUACCUACAGAAGAAGCACCGGCCAACUACGUGCCAGCAGCCGCGGUAAUACGUAGGGUGCAAGCGUUGUCCGGAAUUAUUGGGCGUAAAGAGCUCGUAGGCGGUCUGUCACGUCGGCUGUGAAAACCCGAGGCUCAACCUCGGGCCUGCAGUCGAUACGGGCAAACUAGAGUACUGCAGGGGAGACUGGAAUUCCUGGUGUAGCGGUGAAAUGCGCAGAUAUCAGGAGGAACACCGGUGGCGAAGGCGGGUCUCUGGGCAGUAACUGACGCUGAGGGAGCGAAAGCGUGGGGAGCGAACAGGAUUAGAUACCCUGGUAGUCCACGCCGUAAACGUUGGGCGCUAGGUGUGGGGGCCAUUCCACGGUCUCCGUGCCGCAGCUAACGCAUUAAGCGCCCCGCCUGGGGAGUACGGCCGCAAGGC
Molecule: ribosomal RNA, 518 nt
Filed under: Geodermatophilus sp. CP6E
Lineage: Bacteria; Bacillati; Actinomycetota; Actinomycetes; Geodermatophilales; Geodermatophilaceae
Description: bacterial SSU rRNA
Rfam family: Bacterial small subunit ribosomal RNA
Source: RNAcentral